GCCUGGGAAGUACGUACGCAAGUAUGAAACUUAAAGGAAUUGGCGGGGGAGCACCACAAGGGGUGAAGCCUGCGGUUCAAUUGGAGUCAACGCCAGAAAUCUUACCUGGGGAGACAGCAGAAUGAAGGUCAAGCUGAAGACUUUACCAGACACGCUGAGAGGUGGUGCAUGGCCGUCGCCAGCUCGUGCCGUGAGAUGUCCUGUUAAGUCAGGUAACGAGCGAGACCCCUGCGUCUAGUUGCUACCAUUACUCUCUGGAGCAGUGGAGCGAAUUAGACGGACCGCCACAGUUAAUGUGGAGGAAGGAAGGGGCCACGGCAGGUCAGUAUGCCCCGAAACCCUAGGGCUACACGCGGGCUGCAAUGGUAUU
Molecule: ribosomal RNA, 370 nt
Filed under: uncultured archaeon
Lineage: Archaea
Description: bacterial SSU rRNA
Rfam family: Archaeal small subunit ribosomal RNA
Source: RNAcentral